ACAAACAUAUUAAAGUGAUUUUUAGAGCUGGGAGCUGAAAAAGGGGCUUGCUCCGUUCGCUCCACGCAUCGUCCCGGCAUUGCAGUGCCGCCGGGUACGGUGC
RNAcentral lists this small nuclear RNA (103 nucleotides) under Seriola lalandi dorsalis. Its description in RNAcentral is "U2 spliceosomal RNA (ENSSLDG00000011383.1)". It matches the Rfam family "U2 spliceosomal RNA", at positions 83 to 185 of the family's 192-position model. Rfam says of the family: U2 is a small nuclear RNA (snRNA) component of the spliceosome (involved in pre-mRNA splicing). The record is from RNAcentral. Lineage: Eukaryota; Metazoa; Chordata; Actinopteri; Carangiformes; Carangidae.